This 488-nucleotide long non-coding RNA is filed under the name Ananas comosus (pineapple). RNAcentral's name for it is "long non-coding RNA (ACOM_LNC004116)". Lineage: Eukaryota; Viridiplantae; Streptophyta; Magnoliopsida; Poales; Bromeliaceae. The record is from RNAcentral.
UUUCUCCUAAGUCAAAUUUCAAGUCCAACAUGUAUAAUAUAAACAUUCAUUUCAGCAUGCUUUUAUAUUCAUAUUACAUCCAAAAUGCUAAUCGAUGAAUUAAAGCAUGAUAUACAAAAAUCGAACUAUACACGUCGACUAAACAUGCACUUAGGAGCGAAACCGAUGAUACACCCACCUCUAAUGCAAUUCCUGGCAGCAAGAGGGUCUCGGAUCUUCAAGCAACACUGCUGGAAACCCCUCCAAACCAGCAACAAAGCCCCUUAAGAUCUGGAUUUACAAUUCACCCAAAAAUCCAAUAAAAAUCAUCAAAUAGCCAAAAUUUCAGCACUUAAGCUAAUUCAUCUCAACUCCAAUGUCAAAACUCACCUAAUGAUCUCCAAAUCAGGUGAGGACAGUUCCAAAUCCAGCAAAUACUGAGGGGUGAUCAGUCUCAGGACUAAAAUCCCACUGCCUACAAAGUUAGCAUCAAGAAAAGCUCAAAAAUC